Molecule: ribosomal RNA, 1882 nt
Filed under: human gut metagenome
Description: bacterial LSU rRNA
Rfam family: Bacterial large subunit ribosomal RNA
Source: RNAcentral
UCAAGCUAAUAAGAGCGCAAGGGGAAUGCCUUGGCAUCAGGAGCCGAUGAAGGACGUGACAAGCUGCGAAAAGCUUCGGGGAGCUGCAAAUAAGCGAUGAUCCGGAGAUAUCCGAAUGUGGCAACACACUUGAGCAAUACUCAAGUAUCGCAUGCUGAAUAAAAUAGGUAUGCGAGGGGAACCGUCUGAACUGAAACAUCUAAGUAGGACGAGGAAAAGACAUCAACCGAGAUUCCGCUAGUAGUGGCGAGCGAACGCGGAAAAGGCUAAACCGAACGGAGCAAUCCGAUCGGGGUUUCGGACUGCAAUUAGCAUUGUCGAGUUUUAAUUGAACAGCAUGGGAAGGCUGACCGAAGAAGGUGAGAGUCCUGUAAGUGAAAAGACGAGACAGCGAGCAGAAUCCAGAGUACCGCCGGACACGUGAAACCCGGUGGGAAGACGGGGGGACCAUCCUCCAAGCCUAAAUACUACCUGAUGACCGAUAGCGAAGAGUACUGUGAAGGAAAGGUGAAAAGCACCCCGGGAGGGGAGUGAAAAAGAACCUGAAACCCUGUGCCUACAAGCACCUAGAGCACGUCAAUGUGUGAUAGGGUACUUUUUGUAGAACGGUCCGGCGAGCGAUUGUAUGCAGCAAGGUUAAGGACUUAAGGUCUGGAGCCGAAGCGAAAGCGAGUUUGAAAAGGGCGUUAAGUUGCAUACAAUGGGCCCGAAACCGGGUGACCUACCCAUGGUCAGGUUGAAGUGGAAGUAAAAUUCCAUGGAGGACCGAACCGACCUCCGUUGAAAAGGCGGCGGAUGAACUGUGGGUAGCGGAGAAAUUCCAAUCGAACCCGGAGAUAGCUGGUUCUCCCCGAAAUAGUUUUAGGACUAGCCUCAAGUUAGAUACCUGGAGGUAAAGCACUGAAUAGCCUAGCGGCCGAGAGGUUAGCGAAGCUUAUCAAACUCAGAAUGCCAGAGUAUUGAUGCUUGGGAGUCAGACAGUGUCAGAUAAAUGUCAUUGUCAAAAGGGAAACAGCCCAGAUCUACAGCUAAGGUCCCAAAGUCAGGUUAAGUGGAAAACGAUGUGAAGAUACGCAGACAACCAGGAUGUUGGCUCAGAAGCAGCCACUCAUUCAAAGAGUGCGUAAUAGCUCACUGGUCGAGCGUCUUUGCGCGGAGAAUUUAACGGGGCUAAACCUGACACCGAAGCUUAGGCAAUACAGCAAUGUAUUGGGUAGGGGAGCGUUGUAUACGCGGUGAAACAGUAGCGCAAGCGGCUGUGGAGUGUAUAGAAGUGAGAAUGCCGGAAUGAGUAGCGCGAAUGCAGUGAGAAUCUGCAUGGCCGAAAGCCUCAGGUUUCUGGAGGAAGGUUCGUCCGCUCCAGGUUAGUCGGGAGCUAAGGUGAGGCCUAACGGCGUAGCCGAUGCACAGACGGUAGAGAUUCCGUCACCACCAAAAGAGUUAAACACAGGGACACAUUUGAAGUCUCGGAGCCGGGUGUUGGUUCCGGUAGCGAUCGAGGGAAAUUAGUACCGAAGUCCGGGAUGGAAGAUGGCGAGAAAAGCUGUGUGUAUUUCUGCGGUGCCCGUACCGCAAACCGACACAGGUAGGUAGGAAGAAGAUUCUAAGGCCAACGGGAGAAGGGUUGUUAAGGAACUCGGCAAAUUGACCCCGUAACUUCGGGAGAAGGGGUGCUCCAGAGAUGGAGCCGCAGAGAAUCGGCCCAAGCAACUGUUUACCAAAAACACAGGUUUGUGCUAAAUCGAAAGAUGACGUAUACGAGCUGACGCCUGCCCGGUGCUGGAAGGUUAAGAGGAGAUGUGCAAGCAUUGAAUCGAAGCCCCAGUGAACGGCGGCCGUAACUAUAACGGUCCUAAGGUAGCGAAAUUCCUUGUCAGGUAAG